This 226-nucleotide ribosomal RNA is filed under the name uncultured bacterium. RNAcentral's name for it is "partial 16S ribosomal RNA". It matches the Rfam family "Bacterial small subunit ribosomal RNA", at positions 538 to 763 of the family's 1533-position model. The record is from RNAcentral.
GCGUUGUCCGGAAUUAUUGGGCGUAAAGAGCUCGUAGGCGGUUUGUCACGUCGGCUGUGAAAUCCCGAGGCUCAACCUCGGGUCUGCAGUCGAUACGGGCAGACUAGAGUACUGCAGGGGAGACUGGAAUUCCUGGUGUAGCGGUGGAAUGCGCAGAUAUCAGGAGGAACACCGGUGGCGAAGGCGGGUCUCUGGGCAGUAACUGACGCUGAGGAGCGAAAGCGUG